This 104-nucleotide ribosomal RNA is filed under the name Coriobacteriia bacterium. The record is from RNAcentral. Lineage: Bacteria; Bacillati; Actinomycetota; Coriobacteriia.
UGGCGGAGGGGGUACACCGGAUCCCAUUCCGAACUCCGAAGUUAAGUCCUCCAGCGCCGAUGGUACUGCGGCAGACGCCGUGGGAGAGUAGGACGCCGCUGAGC